This 89-nucleotide transfer RNA is filed under the name Felis catus (domestic cat). It matches the Rfam family "tRNA". Rfam says of the family: Transfer RNA (tRNA) molecules are approximately 80 nucleotides in length. Their secondary structure includes four short double-helical elements and three loops (D, anti-codon, and T loops). Lineage: Eukaryota; Metazoa; Chordata; Mammalia; Carnivora; Felidae. The record is from Rfam by way of RNAcentral.
GCCUGGAUGGCUCAGUUGGUUGAGCAUCUGACUUCGGUUCAGGUCAUGAUCUCACUCACAGUCUGUGGGUUUGAGCCCCAUGUCGGGCU